GGUUCCGUGGUGUAGUUAGUGGUUAUCACGUGAGUUUAACACACUCAAGGUCCUGGGUUCGAUCCCCGGCGGAACAUCU
Halichondria panicea is the source of this 79-nucleotide non-coding RNA. The record is from the annotation of a RefSeq genome assembly. NCBI's taxonomy places the organism in Eukaryota, Metazoa, Porifera, Demospongiae, Suberitida, Halichondriidae.